MicroRNA precursor from Oryza rufipogon (brownbeard rice), 204 nucleotides. It matches the Rfam family "MIR812 microRNA precursor family". The record is from Rfam. NCBI's taxonomy places the organism in Eukaryota, Viridiplantae, Streptophyta, Magnoliopsida, Poales, Poaceae.
AAUAUAUGACGCCAUUGAUUUUUUAUUCAACGUUUGACUAUUCGUCUUAUUCACAAAAUUUAUGUAAUUAUUAUUUAUUUUAUUAUGACUUGAUUCGUUAUCAAAUGUUCUUUAAGUAUGACAUAAAUAUUUUUAUAUUUACACAAUAAUUUUAAAUAAAACGAAUAGUCAAACGUUGGUCGAAAAGUCAACGGCGUCGUAGGG